GACGAACGCUGGCGGCGUGCUUAACACAUGCAAGUCGAACGGAAAGGCCCUGCUUCUGUGGGGUGCUCGAGUGGCGAACGGGUGAGUAACACGUGAGUAACCUGCCCUUGACUUUGGGAUAACUUCAGGAAACUGGGGCUAAUACCGGAUAGGAGCUCCUGCUGCAUGGUGGGGGUUGGAAAGUUUCGGCGGUUGGGGAUGGACUCGCGGCUUAUCAGCUUGUUGGUGGGGUAGUGGCUUACCAAGGCUUUGACGGGUAGCCGGCCUGAGAGGGUGACCGGCCACAUUGGGACUGAGAUACGGCCCAGACUCCUACGGGAGGCAGCAGUGGGGAAUAUUGCACAAUGGGCGGAAGCCUGAUGCAGCAACGCCGCGUGCGGGAUGACGGCCUUCGGGUUGUAAACCGCUUUCGCCUGUGGCGAAGCGUGAGUGACGGUAAUGGGUAAAGAAGCACCGGCUAACUACGUG
This 468-nucleotide ribosomal RNA is filed under the name uncultured bacterium. RNAcentral describes it as "partial 16S ribosomal RNA". It matches the Rfam family "Bacterial small subunit ribosomal RNA", at positions 28 to 507 of the family's 1533-position model. The record is from RNAcentral.